Molecule: ribosomal RNA, 322 nt
Filed under: uncultured Pseudomonas sp.
Lineage: Bacteria; Pseudomonadati; Pseudomonadota; Gammaproteobacteria; Pseudomonadales; Pseudomonadaceae
Description: bacterial SSU rRNA
Rfam family: Bacterial small subunit ribosomal RNA
Source: RNAcentral
CUCGUGUCGUGAGAUGUGGGUUAAGUCCCGUAACGAGCGCAACCCUUGUCCUUAGUUACCAGCACGUUAUGGUGGGCACUCUAAGGAGACUGCCGGUGACAACCGGAGGAAGGUGGGGAUGACGUCAAGUCAUCAUGGCCCUUACGGCCUGGGCUACACACGUGCUACAAUGGUCGGUACAAAGGGUUGCCAAGCCGCGAGGUGGAGCUAAUCCCAUAAAACCGAUCGUAGUCCGGAUCGCAGUCUGCAACUCGACUGCGUGAAGUCGGAAUCGCUAGUAAUCGUGAAUCAGAAUGUCACGGUGAAUACGUUCCCGGGCCUU